ACAACAUUCGGACCGUCGGUCUACCGAGCAAUAUCACUCGCUUGGUGGAAGAUCUUCAUGAUGGAAU
RNAcentral lists this microRNA precursor (67 nucleotides) under Bombyx mori (domestic silkworm). RNAcentral describes it as "mir-2774 microRNA precursor family". It matches the Rfam family "mir-2774 microRNA precursor family". The record is from Rfam by way of RNAcentral. Lineage: Eukaryota; Metazoa; Arthropoda; Insecta; Lepidoptera; Bombycidae.